UAGGGAAUCUUCCGCAAUGGGCGAAAGCCUGACGGAGCAACGCCGCGUGAGUGAUGAAGGUCUUCGGAUCGUAAAACUCUGUUAUUAGGGAAGAACAAAUGUGUAAGUAACUAUGCACGUCUUGACGGUACCUAAUCAGAAAGCCACGGCUAACUACGUGCCAGCAGCCGCGGUAAUACGUAGGUGGCAAGCGUUAUCCGGAAUUAUUUGGCGUAAAGCGCGCGUAGGCGGUUUUUUAAGUCUGAUGGGAAAGCCCACGGCUCAACCGUGGAGGGUGAUUGGAAACUGGAAAACUUGAGUGCAGAAGAGGAAAGUGGAAUUCCAUGUGUAGCGGUGAAAUGCGCAGAGAUAUGGAGGAACACCAGUGGCGAAGGCGACUUUCUGGUCUGUAACUGACGCUGAUGUGCGAAAGCGUGGGGAUCAAACAGG
Molecule: ribosomal RNA, 429 nt
Filed under: Actinomycetes bacterium
Lineage: Bacteria; Bacillati; Actinomycetota; Actinomycetes
Description: Actinobacteria bacterium partial 16S ribosomal RNA
Rfam family: Bacterial small subunit ribosomal RNA
Source: RNAcentral